RNAcentral lists this unclassified non-coding RNA (954 nucleotides) under Hevea brasiliensis (rubber tree). The record is from RNAcentral. Lineage: Eukaryota; Viridiplantae; Streptophyta; Magnoliopsida; Malpighiales; Euphorbiaceae.
GUGAAAUAUUUGUAGUUUGGAAUUUGAUCAUGUGGUUUUCCUUCGACGUGGUGUCACCUUUUUAGUUAGACUUGAAAAGCCUGAUAUGCUGUAGUUAUAAUUAUGUGCAUUAUGCUUUAGCUUUAAAAGGUUGCUUUUUGCUCAGAUCUCUUUUAUUACUUUUUUGUCAUUUCCAUUUCCAGAUGAUAGAAGAAAUGGCUGUUGAAAAGUUGUUUUAAAUUUGUGUGCUUAUCCUAUAACAUCUAUGUGCCAAUUUUCUGCUGUUAUAAUCGGGAUAUUACCCUUAAUAUGUGAAUUUAGGCAUAUGCAUUUUUGUGGUCAAAAACAUUUUCUUUUUUCUGCUUUGAUUGAUGUUGUAGAUAAAAUAAGUUCAUGUGCCUUGUACUCCCAAGCUUGCUAAUUUUUUAAUUGUAGAGUAAAUGUGUUUGAUUAUGUGUAUGUACAUCUCAUUUUCGUCUUGACAAGAUAAAGCAUUUUAUAGAUGGUACCACAUAUGAACCUAUGGGGUCAUAUUUUUUUAACAACUACCAUAAUUAUUUUGGUCCAUUAGAAUGGUAGAAUGGAAUUCAAAUGCUGAGAUGCUGACUCUCAGUUAUCUUUAUUUUCACUCAGCCAAUGGAGAUGAUUGAAUAAAAUAUAUAUGCAGCUUGUCUGGCUGCUGAAUACCUUGAAAUAUUAUUUGCAGUCAGUAAAAAGGAAAAACAGUAUCAUCUUUUAGCUGGCAUAGAGGUAGCACAUUCUUUUUCCUGGCUGAGGGUUGAUACAUCCAUAUGACUUGUAUUUAGGGGCUAUUAAUAUUGUUUAAGAUAUGGAGGUGUAUUAUAAGUCCUUAGAUGAAAAGAAAACAAGAACAAAAAGCAACACAAAAGAUUCAUGAUACAGAAUUUUUAUUUUUGUGUGGAGACAACUUUGGCACCUUUGAUGAUUUAUCUUCCCCUGGUUCAGUCCUUCUCA